AGUUAGUUUAGUUUAUGUCUGCAUUGUGAGGGCUUUACUAUUGCUUCCAGUUGGGUAUGUUAAAGGGCAUAGUAUGUUUGAGAGUGUUGCAGCCAGAUAAGAGACUACAAUCAAUAAAAACAUACCAGAACAAUUUCUUGAAGAAGGUGUUUGUGCACCGGUUCCUGUGUGGGUCUCCUCAUUAAUGUUUGCUUUCUGAGAGGGGUGAUUGCUAAGGUACUUCAACACGUGCUUUCAGACCUUCCACCUCAGCUGAACCUGCUGACUCCUGUGAUGGACUCUGUUUUGAAAAUACAUUUAUCUGCUUUGGCACUUCAGUCCGUUUUUCGCCUUCAAUUUUCCCUGGUUUCUCUCCCGGGCAAGCUUCAACUUCUAUCUAAACUGAAGACAAAUACUGGUAAUACAGUUAAUAGCUCUUCAGAUUUUCCACUACAGAGAUAAAAGGACUGAUGCUGUGAGGUAUAGAAAGUCAUUUGCAGG
Molecule: long non-coding RNA, 480 nt
Organism: Alligator sinensis (Chinese alligator)
Lineage: Eukaryota; Metazoa; Chordata; Crocodylia; Alligatoridae
Exons: 3
Source: RefSeq, a predicted model, not a curated record